CCGGAGUAGCGGUGAAAUGCGCAGAUACCGGAAGGAACGCCAAUAGCGAAGGCAGCUACCUGGACGACUUGUGACGCUGAGGCGCGAAAGCGUGGGGAGCAAACCGGAUUAGAUACCCGGGUAGUCCACGCCCUAAACCAUGAGUGCUGGGUGUCCGGCUUCUGCUGGGUGCCGUAGCUAACGCGCUAAGCACUCCGCCUGGGAAGUACGCACGCAAGUGUGAAACUCAAAGGAAUUGACGGGGGCCCGCACAAGCGGUGGAGCAUGUGGUUUAAUUCGAAGCGACGCGAAGAACCUUACCUGGGCUUGACAUCCUCCGACAGCCCUGGAAACAGGGUCUUCCCCGCAAGGGGACGGAGUGACAGGUGCUGCAUGGCUGUCGUCAGCUCGUGUCGUGAGAUGUUGGGUUAAGUCCCGCAACGAGCGCAACCCUUGCCAUUAGUUGCCACGCGAUGAGUGGGCACUCUAAUGGGACUGCCGGUGACAAACCGGAGGAAGGUGGGGAUGACGUCAAGUCCUCAUGGCCCUUAUGGGUAGGGCUACACACGUCAUACAAUGGC
RNAcentral lists this ribosomal RNA (560 nucleotides) under uncultured Thermaceae bacterium. Its description in RNAcentral is "bacterial SSU rRNA". It matches the Rfam family "Bacterial small subunit ribosomal RNA", at positions 670 to 1234 of the family's 1533-position model. Lineage: Bacteria; Thermotogati; Deinococcota; Deinococci; Thermales; Thermaceae. The record is from RNAcentral.